Molecule: ribosomal RNA, 403 nt
Filed under: uncultured bacterium
Lineage: Bacteria
Description: partial 16S ribosomal RNA
Rfam family: Bacterial small subunit ribosomal RNA
Source: RNAcentral
AUUGAACGCUGGCGGCAGGCCUAACACAUGCAAGUCGAGCGAGCGGCGGACGGGUGAGUAAUGUAUGGGGACUGCCCGAUAGAGGGGGAUAACUACUGGAAACGGUAGCUAAUACCGCAUACUAUCGGAUAACCCAUAUGGGAUUAGCUAGUAGGUGAGGUAAUGGCUCACCUAGGCGACGAUCCCUAGCUGGUCUGAGAGGAUGAUCAGCCACACCGGGACGUAAACCCGCCCCGGACCCUUCGGGAGGCCGGCGUGGGGAAAUUUGCCACAUUGGCGGCAUGCUGAUGCAGCCAUGGCGCGUGUAUUAAGAAGGCCCUAGGGUUGUAAAGUACUUUCAGUCGGGAGGCGUUACCGACAGAAGAAGCACCGGCUAACUCCGUGCCAGCAGCCGCGGUAAUUC